CAUCCGGUUACGACCUCAGGUCAGGCGAGACAACCCGCUGAAUUUAAGCAUAUUACUAAGCGGAGGAAAAGAAACUAAC
Molecule: ribosomal RNA, 79 nt
Filed under: Cyprinus carpio (common carp)
Lineage: Eukaryota; Metazoa; Chordata; Actinopteri; Cypriniformes; Cyprinidae
Description: partial 28S ribosomal RNA
Rfam family: Eukaryotic large subunit ribosomal RNA (bases 11-79)
Source: RNAcentral